This 439-nucleotide ribosomal RNA is filed under the name uncultured bacterium. Its description in RNAcentral is "partial 16S ribosomal RNA". It matches the Rfam family "Bacterial small subunit ribosomal RNA", at positions 339 to 795 of the family's 1533-position model. The record is from RNAcentral.
CUACGGGUCGCUGCAGUGAGGAAUAUUGCACAAUGGGGGGAACCCUGAUGCAGCAACGCCGCGUGGAGGAUGACGCAUUUCGGUGUGUAAACUCCUUUUAUAUGUCAAGAAAAUGACGGUAGCAUAUGAAUAAGCGCCGGCUAACUCCGUGCCAGCAGCCGCGGUAAUACGGAGGGCGCAAGCGUUACUCGGAAUCACUGGGCGUAAAGGACGCGUAGGCGGGUUGAAAAGUCAGGUGUGAAAGCCUACAGCUUAACUGUAGAACUGCACUUGAAACUCUCAAUCUAGAGUAUGGGAGGGGGAGAUGGAAUUAGUAGUGUAGGGGUAAAAUCCGUAGAUAUCACUAGGAAUACCUAAAGCGAAGGCGAUCUGCUGGAACAUUACUGACGCUAAGGCGUGAAAGCGUGGGGAGCAAACAGGAUUAGAUACCCCCGUAGUC